AGCGAACGCUGGCGGCAGGCUUAACACAUGCAAGUCGAGCGGGCGUAGCAAUACGUCAGCGGCAGACGGGUGAGUAACGCGUGGGAACGUACCUUUUGGUUCGGAACAACGCAGGGAAACUUGUGCUAAUACCGGAUAAGCCCUUACGGGGAAAGAUUUAUCGCCGAAAGAUCGGCCCGCGUCUGAUUAGCUAGUUGGUGAGGUAACGGCUCACCAAGGCGACGAUCAGUAGCUGGUCUGAGAGGAUGAUCAGCCACAUUGGGACUGAGACACGGCCCAAACUCCUACGGGAGGCAGCAGUGGGGAAUAUUGGACAAUGGGCGCAAGCCUGAUCCAGCCAUGCCGCGUGAGUGAUGAAGGCCCUAGGGUUGUAAAGCUCUUUUGUGCGGGAAGAUAAUGACGGUACCGCAAGAAUAAGCCCCGGCUAACUUCGUGCCAGCCGCCGCUGUAA
RNAcentral lists this ribosomal RNA (451 nucleotides) under uncultured bacterium. RNAcentral describes it as "partial 16S ribosomal RNA". It matches the Rfam family "Bacterial small subunit ribosomal RNA", at positions 29 to 523 of the family's 1533-position model. The record is from RNAcentral.